AAUGAAGGAGAUGACGUCUUUCUUUGUGAAUACGAAUAUGAUAUCCAGCGGCAGAGUUUCAAGCGCCUUGCAGAUAUU
This is a small nucleolar RNA of Papaver somniferum (opium poppy), 78 nucleotides long. RefSeq annotates it as small nucleolar RNA snoR28. The record is from RefSeq and is a predicted model, not a curated record. NCBI's taxonomy places the organism in Eukaryota, Viridiplantae, Streptophyta, Magnoliopsida, Ranunculales, Papaveraceae. The transcript has a single exon.